GUGAAAUUCGAUGAUUUAAUAUCAUAUUGUUGAUAAAAUGGUUCCUCCACUAUUGGAUCAUAAGAUACACUAUGCUCCUAUAGUUGCGUUAUGUUUCGCAUUUCUGGUUGCACUGUGUUAAACGUAGCACCCACUGACUUCAUAAACGUCAAAAACGUCCUCCGCGUUGCACUUUCGUUUGUUGUUUGUAGUGAAUUGAAGCAGUGUUUUUUUUUUCGGCCUUUCCUGCUUUAAAUCGUGCUCUUAAAAGAUGGAAUUUCAUAAUAGCCGCGAACCCCAAAAGAAAAAAACAGCUCGCCAGUGCUACUGUGAAAAUGACGUGCAGCGAAGUCUUCUCAGCAUUAAGGAAGGAAAACAAACUGCUUACUGGGCUGCAAUAUCUUCUACAAAGAAGACACGAAAAGGACUCCAAACGGUGUUGUCGGAGGAGGAGUUGAAACUUGUUGGAUGGAUCAAAAACAUGCAACGAAAGGGUUUUCCGAUUAUAAGGGAAACUCUGAAAUCAAAAAUAAAUCGUUUUUCAAUUCUUAUCCACGACCAAAUCCCUUCUGCAACAAUGUUCCUGGUCGGAAAUCACGAUACGAACGCCAGAGGCUGUCUCCUCAGCGAGUGCCAAGGUAAGCGAGGUCAACAUUCGGGGCUGGUUUCACGACUUUAAAACAUAUGCGAUAGAGCACGGAGCUGCGCACAUUCUUCAGGAUCCGUCAAGGAUGUGGAAUGGAGACGAGACAUGCUUCUACCUAAACCCAAAAAAUAAAGCUGCGUUGGCUAUUCGUGGGAGCCACAAUGUUUACGAAGUAGAACAUGCCAGCAGACGGCUUAGUUGUGCCUCCAGUCGUCAUCUUGCCUUUGGAAAGAAUUCGCUCGGACUUGUUGCGAACAUUUCCGGCCGAGUGGGGUAUUGGAAAAAGUGCUAAAGGAUGGAUGGAUGCCAACAAUUUCGAAUUGUACAUUCUGAAGGUAUUUUACCCCUUCCUUUUGAAGACGGGAGUAACUCUUCCUGUGUAUUAUUUUGUCGACGGGCAUUCAUCGCAUAUGGCAGCAAAUGUAGCUGAUUCGUAUUGCGAGUUAGGAAUAAUUCUAGUUGUGUUAUAUCCUAACACAACUAGGAUUACACAGCCCGCUGACGCUGAUAAGCACAAUAGAAAUGUUUUUACAUUAGAUGACUUCAGACAUCAUCGUAUCUGGAUUCAAAACCUGCGGAUUUUACCCGUUCGACCCGGCCAGGUUCACACACUCCAGCAAUGAGAAAACUAAAUACCUGGAUGAAUCAUCGGUGCACCCUUUCAAAAAUGCGACUAUCAUCGAUUCAUUUCUUACGGAGCCGGAAAUCUUGCAUACGUCAGUAACCUUUCAGUCACCUAAUCAUAAAAAUUGCAAACGUAAAUUUUACCCUGUCCUUACUGCUGGUGAACGCCUAGAGGAGAUUCGCCGAAUCGAGGAGGAGAAGGAGAAAAAGAUUCAAGAGAGAAAAGAAAAGACAGAGAUACGCGCUGCAAAAAAGGUGGAAAUAGAAAAGCUGAAGGCAGCAUCACGCGAAAUACGAGCUGAGAAGAAAGUUGAACGGGAAAAACUAAAGGAAGAAACACGGUUGCUGAUGAGACAAAAAUCAGAAAAAAGAGCGAAGAAGAAACUUGAGGCUGAGAAACUAAAAGACAAAUUAAGUGAACGAAAACGUCAGCGAGUUGCCAUUAGAAAACAGGAGCGCGAAAAUCUACGAAAAAAUGAGAAUUUUAA
Wyeomyia smithii (pitcher-plant mosquito) is the source of this 1737-nucleotide long non-coding RNA. RefSeq lists it as uncharacterized. The transcript has 4 exons. The record is from RefSeq and is a predicted model, not a curated record. Lineage: Eukaryota; Metazoa; Arthropoda; Insecta; Diptera; Culicidae.